AGCAGCCGCGGUAAUUCCAGCUCCAAUAGCGUAUAUUAAAGUUGUUGCAGUUAAAAAGCUCGUAGUUGAAUUUUAGGCCUGGCCGGGCGGUCCGUCUUUGGCGAGUACUGUYCUGUGUCGGGUCCACCUUCUGGUGAACCAGUAUGUCCUUUAUUGGGUGUGCCGGGGAGCCAGGACCAUUACCUUGAAAAAAUUAGAGUGUUUAAAGCAGGCAUUUGCUUGAAUAGAUUAGCAUGGAAUAAUAGAAUAGGACGUUGUGGUUCUAUUUUGUUGGUUUCUAGGACCACCGUAAUGAUUAAUAGGGAUAGUUGGGGGCAUUAGUAUUCAAUUGUCAGAGGUGAAAUUCUUGGAUUUAUUGAAGACUAACUAUUGCGAAAGCAUUUGCCAAGGAUGUUUUCAUUAAUCAAGAACGAAAGUUAGGGGAUCGAAGACGAUCAGAUACCGUCGUAGUCUUAACCAUAAACUAUGCCGACUAGGGAUCGGA
RNAcentral lists this ribosomal RNA (484 nucleotides) under uncultured Archaeospora. RNAcentral's name for it is "SSU rRNA". It matches the Rfam family "Eukaryotic small subunit ribosomal RNA", at positions 571 to 1068 of the family's 1831-position model. Lineage: Eukaryota; Fungi; Glomeromycota; Glomeromycetes; Archaeosporales; Archaeosporaceae. The record is from RNAcentral.